Molecule: ribosomal RNA, 1205 nt
Filed under: Acinetobacter sp. ZH-14
Lineage: Bacteria; Pseudomonadati; Pseudomonadota; Gammaproteobacteria; Moraxellales; Moraxellaceae
Description: bacterial SSU rRNA
Rfam family: Bacterial small subunit ribosomal RNA
Source: RNAcentral
UUCCGAAAGGAAUGCUAAUACCGCAUACGCCCUACGGGGGAAAGCAGGGGAUCGUAAGACCUUGCGCUAAUAGAUGAGCCUAAGUCGGAUUAGCUAGUUGGUGGGGUAAAGGCCUACCAAGGCGACGAUCUGUAGCGGGUCUGAGAGGAUGAUCCGCCACACUGGGACUGAGACACGGCCCAGACUCCUACGGGAGGCAGCAGUGGGGAAUAUUGGACAAUGGGGGGAACCCUGAUCCAGCCAUGCCGCGUGUGUGAAGAAGGCCUUUUGGUUGUAAAGCACUUUAAGCGGGGAGGAGGCUCUUCUGGUUAAUACCCAGGAUGAGUGGACGUUACCCGCAGAAUAAGCACCGGCUAACUCUGUGCCAGCAGCCGCGGUAAUACAGAGGGUGCGAGCGUUAAUCGGAUUUACUGGGCGUAAAGCGUGCGUAGGCGGCUUACUAAGUCGGAUGUGAAAUCCCCGAGCUUAACUUGGGAAUUGCAUUCGAUACUGGUGAGCUAGAGUAUGGGAGAGGAUGGUAGAAUUCCAGGUGUAGCGGUGAAAUGCGUAGAGAUCUGGAGGAAUACCGAUGGCGAAGGCAGCCAUCUGGCCUAAUACUGACGCUGAGGUACGAAAGCAUGGGGAGCAAACAGGAUUAGAUACCCUGGUAGUCCAUGCCGUAAACGAUGUCUACUAGCCGUUGGGGCCUUUGAGGCCUUAGUGGCGCAGCUAACGCGAUAAGUAGACCGCCUGGGGAGUACGGUCGCAAGACUAAAACUCAAAUGAAUUGACGGGGGCCCGCACAAGCGGUGGAGCAUGUGGUUUAAUUCGAUGCAACGCGAAGAACCUUACCUGGCCUUGACAUACUAGAAACUUUCCAGAGAUGGAUUGGUGCCUUCGGGAAUCUAGAUACAGGUGCUGCAUGGCUGUCGUCAGCUCGUGUCGUGAGAUGUUGGGUUAAGUCCCGCAACGAGCGCAACCCUUUUCCUUACUUGCCAGCAUUUCGGAUGGGAACUUUAAGGAUACUGCCAGUGACAAACUGGAGGAAGGCGGGGACGACGUCAAGUCAUCAUGGCCCUUACGGCCAGGGCUACACACGUGCUACAAUGGUCGGUACAAAGGGUUGCUACCCAGCGAUAGGAUGCUAAUCUCAAAAAGCCGAUCGUAGUCCGGAUUGGAGUCUGCAACUUCGACUCCAUGAAGUUCGGAAUCGCUAGUAAUCGCGG